CAGAAGCCGUGAGCGCCGCGAAACAAAGGGCGUCUCUAAGGCCGCCUGGCGCUCAGGCUGGCACGGAGGGCCGGACCUCCUACCCCCCGGCCGGGCCCCCGGACUCUGGCGGGCAGAGAGGCCCCGGAUCGUGCCUAGGCCCUGGCGGGAGCGCGGGGAGAUGGCAGAGGAGUGCCCCGGGGCACCGUGAGAUGCAAGUGCGAUAUCGGGGCCAAGGUCGUGGGGCGUUGGCGGUUUUCUCCGUCACUGCCGGCUCUGACAGAUUACCCGCUCCUUAAUGUCUGUAACAGAGGCGGUGAUAAUUGUCCCUACGCAAUUAUCCUAGGGGGAGGAGGCUUAGGUAAGGCGCUCUCUGGAAAGCGGGGAGGACAGUGCAGGCGUCCCCUGGUGGGGAGGGCCAUAGCGCCUCUCUCCCAGACGAACACACACGGGAGUUCGGGUCAGUGACUGCCACUUUCAAGUCCCAGCAGGGAUGUAGUUUCUGGCCAGGCCACCUGGAAGAGGAGCAGCAUGUGGCAGGUGGCACAGGGCCAGGUCAUCUCACCGUUGGUGAGCCCUGCAUCGGGCUCUGCCCUGACAGCCUGGCAUCUUGUAGCGGGCUUGGGAUUCUCUCUCCCUCUCUCUCUGCUGCUCCAGGUGUCACCAUGUUGAUGGACCAGGACACCGGGUCUGGGCCCAGGACCUCCCCUGACUCUCACAAGGCUCCCCGGAGACCAAAUCUCUAUUGUGGGAUCUCAGGCCCCAUCUGUGUUCCUGGAAUUCCAAAUGUGGCCUCCUUCUGAGCCCUGCCCCCCACCCUCACCCCCACCCCGCCCCCACCAUUGCCUUGUUCCCGCUGGAUUUCCAUCACAGGUGGCUGUGUGAGGUCAGGAUAAACCUAAUUUGGAGCGCAAGAUGACUGUUGCAUUCCCUUGGAUGGAAUUCAUUUGUUGAACAAUUGGCCAUUGAAAAUGGUGGUGACCUUUCUUUAAUAUAGCCAUAAUACCACUCCUCCAGAGAAACUGUUGACAAAGUAGUCAUACAUCACCUACGUGUAGGCUGAACCCAGUCUGUCAAUAACACUAGCAGCAACAACACCUCACCUGGCCUCUGAGCCUCCACUCUUCCUUGGUUCCCUUCUUUUUCACUGGCCCCUCCUUCACCAUAUAUCUUUUUGGUUCUUCUUCAUCUUCCUGGUGCCUAACAUUGGAGCACCCCAGGACUCAGUCAUUCUUUUUUAUCUAUCCUUGCUCAAACUAGAUGACCUCAUCCCUGAAAUGAGGUCCAUCUCUCUAGGCUGACUGCAACUAUGUUUUUGCUUUUAAAUGUUUACUCAUGUAGAGAGAGAGAGAGAGAGAGAGGAAGAGAGAGCACAAGAGGAGGACAGGCAGAGAGAGAGGGAGAGAGAGAGAGAAUCCCAAGCAGGCUCUGCCCUAUCAGCACAGAGCCUGAUGUAGGGCUCAAACCCAUGAACUGUGAGAUCAUGACCUGAGCUGAAACCACGAGUUGGACGCUUAACUGACUGAGCCCCCCAGGUGCCCCUGACAGCAACUAUGUUUAUAUCUCCAGCCCUGGCCUGUCGCCUGAACUCUAGGCUUGAAUACUCAACUGUCUGCUCAAUGCCUUGACCUGGACAUCUAAUAGACAUGGCCGACACACUAUCCAAAAUCAAACCCUAUUAUUGUGCCCCUAAACCUGCUCCUUCCACAGUCUUCUUGUAGUGGAAACUCUGGCAGAUGAUCUUCCUUUUUGUAAUGCAAGUUGUAACGCAACUUAAGCUUUGAUUGCCAAGGUAUCACUUCCAAGAGGCAUCUACUUCUCCUAGCAAGCGACAGGACUGGACAAAGAACUGGGCCGCUCCCUGGACCGAGGCUCCUUUAUUUCAGAGAUUUUGGUUGAUUUUGAUAACUGAUCAUUUUGGGCCACUUGCCUUUUCUCAUCCCAUGCUUUAAAUUCCCACUUUUGUGUUUUAAAGUCACCAAGACAGGGGCGCCUGGGUGGCUCAGUCGGUUAAGCGUCCAACUUCAGCUCAGGUCACGAUCUCACGGUCCGUGGGUUCGAGCCCCACAUCGGGCUCUGGGCUGAUGAUGGCUCAGAGCCUGGAGCCUGCUUCCGAUUCUGUGUCUCCCUCUCUCUCUGACCCUCCCCCGUUCGUGCUCUGUCUCUCUCUGUCUCAAAAAUAAAUAAACGUUAAAA
Neofelis nebulosa (Clouded leopard) is the source of this 2175-nucleotide long non-coding RNA. RefSeq lists it as uncharacterized. The record is from RefSeq and is a predicted model, not a curated record. NCBI's taxonomy places the organism in Eukaryota, Metazoa, Chordata, Mammalia, Carnivora, Felidae. The transcript is spliced from 3 exons.